This 445-nucleotide ribosomal RNA is filed under the name uncultured bacterium. RNAcentral describes it as "bacterial SSU rRNA". It matches the Rfam family "Bacterial small subunit ribosomal RNA", at positions 330 to 793 of the family's 1533-position model. The record is from RNAcentral.
UCCAGACUCCUACGGGAGGCAGCAGUGGGGAAUAUUGCACAAUGGGGGAAACCCUGAUGCAGCGACGCCGCGUGAGUGAAGAAGUAAUUCGUUAUGUAAAGCUCUAUCAGCAGGGAAGAAAAUGACGGUACCUGAGUAAGAAGCCCCGGCUAACUACGUGCCAGCAGCCGCGGUAAUACGUAGGGGGCAAGCGUUAUCCGGAUUUAUUGGGUUUAAAGGGUGCGUAGGCGGAAGGUUAAGUCAGCGGUCAAAUGUCGGGGCUCAACCCCGUCGAGCCGUUGAAACUGGCAGACUUGAGUUGGCGAGAAGUACGCGGAAUGCGCGGUGUAGCGGUGAAAUGCAUAGAUAUCGCGCAGAACUCCGAUUGCGAAGGCAGCGUACCGGCGCCAGACUGACGCUGAGGCACGAAAGCGUGGGUAUCGAACAGGAUUAGAUACCCGUGUAA